This 262-nucleotide unclassified non-coding RNA is filed under the name Hevea brasiliensis (rubber tree). The record is from RNAcentral. Lineage: Eukaryota; Viridiplantae; Streptophyta; Magnoliopsida; Malpighiales; Euphorbiaceae.
GGCUUCAUUGAUAAGUGGUUUUACAUGAGCAUUGGGGUGGGAUUCGCAGCAGAUUUAUUGCUUCCUUAUUUAGUUUUUGCAAUGAAAAGGUCUUGGGGUGGAACUGCUUAUAGAUUGUCAAGUGAGAAAAUGAAAGCAGCUGCAAGAAGAAGAAAUCGGGGCGCUCGUUGACGUUUUUCAUUUUUCUUUUGCAAGUCUUAAAUUUCUUGUACAAUCUAGUGAAGUAUUUCAGCAAGUCUCGGAUUGUUUGAAUUUGGAGAAA